RNAcentral lists this small RNA (132 nucleotides) under Escherichia coli. RNAcentral's name for it is "RtT sRNA". It matches the Rfam family "RtT RNA". Rfam says of the family: This family represents a bacterial cis-regulatory element known as RtT RNA. The exact function of RtT is unknown although it is thought that it may be involved in changing the cellular response in relation to amino acid starvation. The record is from RNAcentral. Lineage: Bacteria; Pseudomonadati; Pseudomonadota; Gammaproteobacteria; Enterobacterales; Enterobacteriaceae.
GUUUGCACUCAUCGGGGAAGGGUGAGAACCUUCGACUAAGGUUCGAUUCGAGCGAAAGCGAGAGAACGUUGCCACAGGCAACGGCCCGAAGGGAGAAGCGCGAAGCGAAGAAUAAUCCUUCCCCCACCACCA